CACUCGUCUCUAAUCUCCGAUCACCUCCACCAGUAACCAUGAUGAUCCUGAGCACCACCGCUCUCGCUGGACUCCUCCUCUCUCUCUCGGGGUUUGAGGCCAUAGUGCAUCUGACCCAGGAGAAGAUCAUGAACGUGAACAUAGGACAAGAUGUAAAGAUUCUCUGCAGGAGAGAUGAUAGUGGUAGCUGGGCCAUUUCAUGGUACCAGCAGAAAGCUGGAGAUACUCCAAAGUUCUUACUAGCUGAUAGCACCAGAGCCAGUGGUCUGUCCAGCAGAUUCACAUACACAGACAGUGGUGUGGAUGAGUACCUGAACAUCGGCCGAGUGGAAGCUGAGGACGAAGCGGUGUAUUACUGCGGCUGCAUCAUUUGUCAAAGCCAUGGCAGCAUCGGAGGAGGCACCGAGUUGAGGAUCGCUCGUCCGUCGUCUCCUCCGUCUCUGCUCCUGCUGGCUCCUCCUGCUUCUCCGCUCUCUGAGGGUGAUGUCAGUGUGGUGUGUGUGGCUCGGGGCUUUUACCCUGACGGUGUCACCAUGUCCUGGUCUGAGGACAGCAGCGGCGUGACGGGGGACGAGGUGCAGACGGCUCCGUAUCAGCGUCAGGCCGACGGCACCUUCUCCCAGACCAGCGUUCUGAAGCUCAGUAAGCAGCGCUGGAGCUCCGGGAGAACCUACACGUGCCGUCUGAGUCACCCGGCGCUUUCCACACCGCUGAGCCAGAGCACCAGCCUGAACCAGUGCAUGUAGAGAGAUCACACAGUGCUGCUUCACCUCUCAUGUGUUGCAUAAAGAGAGAAAUAUAUAUAAUGCACCUCAGUGAACAAAACUUGUCUUUAAUAAUGAGUGUGUUGUCCAUUUAAACAAGUUCUUCUGUUAUUGUGAAAUGAGUCUUGUGGAG
Molecule: non-coding RNA, 897 nt
Organism: Sinocyclocheilus rhinocerous
Lineage: Eukaryota; Metazoa; Chordata; Actinopteri; Cypriniformes; Cyprinidae
Source: the annotation of a RefSeq genome assembly